ACAAAUUAGAGGUCGAAUAUAUGUUAUCUAUUUCUUUUUUUAUUGAAACAAUAUGUUAUCUAUUUCUAAUAAGCAAUUAAAUUUUCUAAAAGAUAUGUUUGCCUUUUAUUUUUUCUUUUCUUUUGUUUUUGCCAUAACAUCCAAUAAUUGUAUUCCAUCCAUACUAGUUUAUAGUUUCUGUUUGUGUUUUUUUACGGUAUUUAAGAGAUGAAAGGAGAAAAUGGAUGAAAUACUUUUAAAAAGUAUAAUUAUAUACAAAAGAUUGAGAUAGAAAGUGGAAAAAAAUACAAGGGUAAGUGAAAAAUUCAAGGGUAAUUUAAAAAGUAAAAUUAAUAAAGUUAAAAAAAAAAGAGUAUAAUGAUUUUUACGUACGACCCAAAAAUAGAAAUAAGAACUAUAUUUUAAAUCUCCAAAAUAGAAAAACAUGAAAUAUAACGUAGAACGGAAUGAGUAUAUUAGCCUUUUGUUUAGGCGUGUAUGUAGUAUGCUGGCGAUCCUUCCAAGCUCAGUAUGUUAGUACUUGUACAAAAAGUUUUAAAUGUACCAAUUUUUAUAAAACCACAAAAAAAACAAAAAAUAAAAAAAUCGCUGCCCUGUGCAAUUUCCGAGUCUUUUUCUGUUUCAGUUUUUUCACGUUUUUCCACCAAAAAAACCUUACCCAGUUCGCAUCGCUCUCCUCUCGUUACAAAAAUGAAGAUCGAUGGAGCAAAGAAGGAUGCACGGUUUGAAGCAUUAAUUUUCUUGAAUGGUCCCCAGCCAACGCUCGCUUAGGUAAGGGAGGGGCGUAGUGUUCCACAAAUUUUAUUGGAGCAGGGGGUUUCUCGAAUAAUAAUAAUUUUAGAUUUCAAGAAAAGAAGGUUCAUCAGGAUCAGUGGCGGACCCAAGAAUUUCCGACUGGCACAAAGGCAGGUCCGCCGCUGAUCAGGAUGAAGUAAGUAUAUUCAAGUCUUAUGUUUGCAAUUUAAUUCGCUUUUUAUAUUUUCUGUUUUUUUUUUUCUUCUUAAUAUCAUAGUGAUAAAACUAGAUAAUGAAGGGAGGAAUUGCAGUGUAGGGAGGGGGGCAGAUGUAGGGAGGCCAGGGGGUUAGGUGCAGGGGAAGGGGGCAAGGGCUCCUGCACUUGUGGUUAUGCUCCCAUUGUAAUUUUUUUUUCGUUAUUUUUUUUUAUUAAAGUGUAAAACAUUAUAGUAAUUUAUUAAUGAAAAUAUCUAAGUUUUUAUAUGUACAA
This is a long non-coding RNA of Chenopodium quinoa (quinoa), 1225 nucleotides long. RefSeq lists it as uncharacterized. The transcript is spliced from 3 exons. Lineage: Eukaryota; Viridiplantae; Streptophyta; Magnoliopsida; Caryophyllales; Amaranthaceae. The record is from RefSeq and is a predicted model, not a curated record.